This 219-nucleotide long non-coding RNA is filed under the name Linum usitatissimum (flax). RNAcentral describes it as "long non-coding RNA (LUSI_LNC003468)". The record is from RNAcentral. Lineage: Eukaryota; Viridiplantae; Streptophyta; Magnoliopsida; Malpighiales; Linaceae.
UAGCUAUGGUGUACAAUUGCAAAUUUGCAAAAAAUAAAUGACCAAAUUUGGUAAUUAUAAUAACCCAUUUUUAGUCGAAAAUAGAACAGACGAAGCUGUUUUUAUAAAAGUGAAAAAAAAAAUAUAAUAUAGAUUGUAACUCAAUUCAAACUCGAUAUCUCUAAAUCUCCAACCACACAACGCAAUUGACCACCACUUUACUCCACCGAUAAUAUCAAU